Molecule: ribosomal RNA, 583 nt
Filed under: uncultured bacterium
Lineage: Bacteria
Description: partial 16S ribosomal RNA
Rfam family: Bacterial small subunit ribosomal RNA
Source: RNAcentral
UGGGGAAUUUUGGACAAUGGGCGAAAGCCUGAUCCAGCAAUGCCGCGUGUGUGAAGAAGGCCUUCGGGUUGUAAAGCACUUUUGUCCGGAAAGAAAUCCUUGGCUCUAAUACAGUCGGGGGAUGACGGUACCGGAAGAAUAAGCACCGGCUAACUACGUGCCAGCAGCCGCGGUAAUACGUAGGGUGCAAGCGUUAAUCGGAAUUACUGGGCGUAAAGCGUGCGCAGGCGGUUUGCUAAGACCGAUGUGAAAUCCCCGGGCUCAACCUGGGAACUGCAUUGGUGACUGGCAGGCUAGAGUAUGGCAGAGGGGGGUUAGAAUUCCACGUGUAGCAGUGAAAUGCGUAGAGAUGUGGAGGAAUACCGAUGGCGAAGGCAGCCCCCUGGGCCAAUACUGACGCUCAUGCACGAAAGCGUGGGGAGCAAACAGGAUUAGAUACCCUGGUAGUCCACGCCCUAAACGAUGUCAACUAGUUGUUGGGGAUUCAUUUCCUUAGUAACGUAGCUAACGCGUGAAGUUGACCGCCUGGGGAGUACGGUCGCAAGAUUAAAACUUAAAGGAAUUGACGGGGUCAUAGCUGUUU